GUUUGCGGGUCAUGGUGAUGACUUCCGCUACAGGCUGCUACGAUUCCGAGCACAAAUCAAUUGCAAGACGCAAGUGCUCCGUGAUUCCCCGUGAAGCAGUACAUAUAAGCAGCGCAGGGGCGGGAGGUUGAUACCGAGGACCUGGAUCGAAGGCAUCAUUGAGUGCAGCGUUGAUGAGAAUCCAGUUUCCCUGAUGAUUAGGAACAUGGGGGGUUUCACCAACGCUGCACCCAAUAAUGCCUUCGACGUCUUGGAAGAAAAUCGAAGCAGACAUGGAUGAUGCUGCUCAUGCAACGAGGAGGAGGAAGUGACAGGCUCCUGCUUCCUACCUCUCUGGUUACUACGACUAGAGAUCUUUGCUUCCCGUUCCUCUUGCUGCUCUUGUUAGUCAUUUGCUCCUCAAGCAAAUGCUUUUGUUCUUGUUGCUUCGAGGCCU
This 436-nucleotide precursor RNA is filed under the name Musa AAB Group. Its description in RNAcentral is "partial microRNA 397". The stretch from base 146 to 245 matches the Rfam family "MIR397 microRNA precursor family". The record is from RNAcentral. Lineage: Eukaryota; Viridiplantae; Streptophyta; Magnoliopsida; Zingiberales; Musaceae.